This 972-nucleotide ribosomal RNA is filed under the name uncultured archaeon. RNAcentral describes it as "bacterial SSU rRNA". It matches the Rfam family "Archaeal small subunit ribosomal RNA", at positions 85 to 1058 of the family's 1478-position model. The record is from RNAcentral.
ACUGCUCAGUAACACGUGGACAACCUGCCCUUAGGUUGGGUAUAAACCCGGGAAACUGGGUAUAAUACCCGAUAGGUCUCGAUUGCUGGAAUGCAUCGAGAUUUAAAGCUCCGGCGCCUAAGGAUGGGUCUGCGGCCUAUCAGGUAGUAGUGGGUGUAGCGUACCUACUAGCCUACGACGGGUACGGGUUGUGAGAGCAAGAGCCCGGAGAUGGAUUCUGAGACACGAAUCCAGGCCCUACGGGGUGCAGCAGGCGCGAAAACUUUACAAUGCUGGCAACAGCGAUAAGGGAACCUCGAGUGCCAGGUUACAAAUCUGGCUGUCGAGAUGCCUAAAAAGCAUUUCAUAGCAAGGGCCGGGCAAGACCGGUGCCAGCCGCCGCGGUAACACCGGCGGCUCGAGUGGUAACCGUUAUUAUUGGGUCUAAAGGGUCUGUAGCCGGCCGGAUAAGUCUCUUGAGAAAUCUGGCAGCUUAACUGUCAGGCUUUCAGGAGAUACUGUCUGGCUCGAGGCCGGGAGAGGUGAGAGGUACUUCAGGGGUAGGGGUGAAAUCUUGUAAUCCUUGAAGGACCACCAGUGGCGAAGGCGUCUCACCAGAACGGACCUGACGGCAAGGGACGAAAGCUAGGGGCACGAACCGGAUUAGAUACCCGGGUAGUCCUAGCCGUAAACGAUACUCGCUAGGUGUCGGCCACGGUGCGACCGUUGUCGGUGCCGUAGGGAAGCCGUGAAGCGAGCCACCUGGGAAGUACGGCCGCAAGGCUGAAACUUAAAGGAAUUGGCGGGGGAGCACCACAACGGGUGGAGCUUGCGGUUUAAUUGGAUUCAACGCCGGAAAUCUUACCGGGACCGACAGCAAUAUGAAGGCCAGGCUGAAGACUUUGCCAGAUUAGCUGAGAGGUGGUGCAUGGCCGUCGUCAGUUCGUACUGUGAAGCAUCCCGUUAAGUCAGGCAACGAGCGAAACCCGCGCC